This 305-nucleotide ribosomal RNA is filed under the name uncultured bacterium. RNAcentral describes it as "bacterial SSU rRNA". It matches the Rfam family "Bacterial small subunit ribosomal RNA", at positions 336 to 655 of the family's 1533-position model. The record is from RNAcentral.
UUCCUACGGGACGCAGCAGUUGGGAAUAUUGGACAAUGGAGGAAACUCUGAUCCAGUGACGCCGCGUGAAGGAAGAAGGUCUUCGGAUUGUAAACUUAUUUUAUCAGGGAAGAAAGAAAUGACGGUACCUGAGUAAGAAGCCCCGGCUAACUACGUGCCAGCAGCCGCGGUAAUACGUAGGGGGCAAGCGUUAUCCGGAAUUACUGGGUGUAAAGGGAGCGUAGACGGUAAUGCAAGUCUGGAGUGAAAGGCGGGGGCCCAACCCCCGGACUGCUCUGGAAACUGUGUAACUGGAGUGCAGGAGA